GAUGAACGCUAGCGGCAGGCCUAAUACAUGCAAGUCGAACGGUAAAUAUUGCAGCAAUACGGUAUGAGAGUGACGUACGGGUGCGUAACACGUAUGCAACCUACCCAAAACUGGAGUAUAGCUCGGGGAAACCCGAAUUAACCCUUCAUAGUAUCACUGGAUGGCAUCAUUUGGUGAUUAAAACUCAGGUGGUUUUGGAUGGGCAUGCGUCUGAUUAGCUAGUUGGCGGGGUAAAGGCCCACCAAGGCGAUGAUCAGUAGGGGAACUGAGAGGUUGAUCCCCCACACUGGCACUGAGAUACGGGCCAGACUCCUACGGGAGGCAGCAGUAGGGAAUAUUGGUCAAUGGAUGCAAGUCUGAACCAGCCAUGCCGCGUGCAGGAAGAAGGCCUUCUGGGUUGUAAACUGCUUUUGCCAGAGGAUAAAAUGGGCGUGCGCGCCUAAUUGAGGGUACCUGGUGAAUAAGCCACGGCUAACUACGUGCCAGCAGCCGCAGUAA
This 498-nucleotide ribosomal RNA is filed under the name uncultured bacterium. RNAcentral describes it as "partial 16S ribosomal RNA". It matches the Rfam family "Bacterial small subunit ribosomal RNA", at positions 28 to 523 of the family's 1533-position model. The record is from RNAcentral.